CACACACACAGACAACACUGUCACACACACAGAGACACCACUGUCACACACACACACACACACAACACUGUCACACACACAGAGACAACACUGUCACACACACAGAGACAACACUGUCACACACACACAGAGACAACACUGUCACACACACAGAGACAACACUGUCACACACACAGAGACAACACUGUCACACACACAGAGACAACACUGUCACACACACACACACACCACUACAACACUGUCACACACACAGAGACAACACUGUCACACACACACAGACACACACACACACAGACACCACUGUCACACACACACACACACACACACACACAGAGACAACACUGUCACACACACACACACACACACAGAGACAACACUGUCACACACACACACACACACAGACAACACUGUCACACACACACACA
Ictalurus punctatus (channel catfish) is the source of this 425-nucleotide long non-coding RNA. The record is from Ensembl. NCBI's taxonomy places the organism in Eukaryota, Metazoa, Chordata, Actinopteri, Siluriformes, Ictaluridae.